Molecule: ribosomal RNA, 1206 nt
Filed under: metagenome
Description: SSU rRNA
Rfam family: Eukaryotic small subunit ribosomal RNA
Source: RNAcentral
AAAUCGUUCGACGAGGAUCUAUUGGAGGGCAAGUCUGGUGCCAGCAGCCGCGGUAAUUCCAGCUCCAAUAGCGUAUAUUAAAGUUGUUGCAGUUAAAAAGCUCGUAGUUGGAUCUGGGGUUCGGGUCGGCGGUUUGCCGCUUCGGCGGCUACUGCCGUGCUCGACUCUUACUAGCCGGUGCGUCUUGCGGUGCUCUUCAUCGAGUGCCGUAGGAGCCUGGCAUGUUUACUUUGAAAAAAUUAGAGUGCUCAAAGCAGGCGAUUCCGCCUGAAUAGUGUUGCAUGGAAUAAUGGAAUAGGACCUCGGUUCUAUUUUGUUGGUUUUCGGAACUUGAGGUAAUGAUUAAGAGGGACGGUCGGGGGCAUUCGUAUUUCGGUGUUAGAGGUGAAAUUCUUGGAUCGCUGAAAGACGGACAAAUGCGAAAGCAUCUGCCAAGAACGUCUCCAUUAAUCAAGAACGAAAGUCAGAGGUUCGAAGACGAUCAGACACCGUCCUAGUUCUGACCAUAAACGAUGCCAACUAGCGAUCCGCAGUGGUUGCUAUAAACGGACUCUGCGAGCAGCUUCCGGGAAACCAAAGUGUUUGGGUUCCGGGGGAAGUAUGGUUGCAAAGCUGAAACUUAAAGGAAUUGACGGAAGGGCACCACCAGGAGUGGAGCCUGCGGCUUAAUUUGACCCAACACGGGGAAACUCACCCGGUCCGGACACUGUAAGGAUUGACAGAUCGAGAGCUCUUUCUUGAUUCGGUGGAUGGUGGUGCAUGGCCGUUCUUAGUUGGUGGAGUGAUUUGUCUGGUUAAUUCCGAUAACGAACGAGACUCUAGCCUGCUAACUAGUUGCGCCGUGUUCAUACGCGGCUGUAGACUUCUUAGAGGGACAGGUGGCGUUUAGCCACACGAAAUUGAGCAAUAACAGGUCUGUGAUGCCCUUAGAUGUCCGGGGCCGCACGCGCGCUACACUGAAGGAGUCAGCGUGUGCUAUCCUGGCUCGGAAGAGUUCGGUAACCCGUUGAAACUCCUUCGUGCUUGGGAUCGUGGCUUGUAAUUAUCGCGCAUGAACGAGGAAUUCCCAGUAAGUGCAAGUCAUCAGCUUGCGCUGACUACGUCCCUGCCCUUUGUACACACCGCCCGUCGCUACUACCGAUCGAAUGGUUUAGCAAGGUACUCGGAUUGGUCUCGAUCUUGUACGAAAGUGCGGGAUCUGUGGCC